This 454-nucleotide ribosomal RNA is filed under the name uncultured bacterium. Its description in RNAcentral is "bacterial SSU rRNA". It matches the Rfam family "Bacterial small subunit ribosomal RNA", at positions 340 to 786 of the family's 1533-position model. The record is from RNAcentral.
UACGGAAGGCAGCAGUGGGGAAUAUUGCACAAUGGGCGCAAGCCUGAUGCAGCCAUGCCGCGUGUAUGAAGAAGGCCUUCGGGUUGUAAAGUACUUUCAGUCGUGAGGAAGGUGUUAAGGUUAAUAACCUUAGCAAUUGACGUUAGCGACAGAAGAAGCACCGGCUAACUCCGUGCCAGCAGCCGCGGUAAUACGGAGGGUGCGAGCGUUAAUCGGAAUUACUGGGCGUAAAGGGCACGCAGGCGGUUAAUUAAGUUGGAUGUGAAAUCCCCGGGCUUAACCUGGGAAUGGCAUUCAAGACUGGUUAGCUAGAGUCUUGUAGAGGGGGUAGAAUUCCAUGUGUAGCGGUGAAAUGCGUAGAGAUGUGGAGGAAUACCGGUGGCGAAGGCGGCCCCUGGGACAAAGACUGACGCUCAUGUGCGAAAGCGUGGGGAGCAAACAGGAUUUAGAUACC